Molecule: long non-coding RNA, 2213 nt
Organism: Megalobrama amblycephala (Wuchang bream)
Lineage: Eukaryota; Metazoa; Chordata; Actinopteri; Cypriniformes; Xenocyprididae
Exons: 2
Source: RefSeq, a predicted model, not a curated record
AAUACGUUCUGAGGAAACUAUUUUGCAAAUCGCAAUUACGUUACAUGCCAACAUAUAAGCAGUGCUAUUACGUUGGUCCUUAACCUAAUAAAGCCAAUUUAUUGCAGUGCUAUUACGUUUGUCCUGAACAUAAUACAUCCAAAGCAGGUUUCUUUUCACACGUAGCAGCUAAUGCUGUUCAUUUUGUUUUAAUUAUUUACUCCCUUUUUUCUGAUCGGGCUACAAAAUAUUAUUUAUGCCAGGGGGAGUCAAAUGGCGGCACCCAGAUAAUUUUUAUCUGGCCCUCCAACUGGUUUUUGAUGUUUAAAACCGCUCGCAAUCUGAUAUCAAAGUCCCCGCAAAGGUUUAGCGUUUUCAGCGGUGAGUUUAACGUUGUUGCAAAGAUUUUUCUGAUCUCGCCAGAAUAAUGUGAAACUGCUACGUUUUGGUUGCUAUGAACAAUAUUUUAUUUUCUGCAUCAAAAUAAGGUUUGAUUACAUUUUAAGCAAAAAAUAUAUAUUAUUUAUUUUCAUAAUAUUCAUUCAGUGAAUGUACAUAAUCACUCGCUUGCGCGUUGUUGCAAAGAUUUAUCUGAUCUAGCCAGAAUAAUGUGAAACUGCUACGUUUUGGUUGCUAUGAACAAUAUUUUGAGUUAGUUUCUGCAUAAAAAUAAGGUUUGAUUACAUUUUUAGCGAGAAAUAUAUAUUCUAUUUUCAUAAUAUUCACUCAGUGAAUGUCAACCCGUUCUCACUCCUGACCGUUCUCACGCUGAAGAAGUCUCCUUCAGAACACAUCGCGAUAUUUGGCAUCAGUUCGCGUGUGCUGGAUGUUGGUAAGUAGUCGUAAAUACGCUGUUCUAAUGUUUGAUAUAAUGUCUUUUCUGUUUGCAGAUAUUAAUCAGAUUAACGUUAGCUCCCUCAUGUUCAGUCACUGCAUUAUAUCUGUCACCUCCGCUAAGGUUUUGCUUUUCAUUGUUUUCUAUAUUAAAUACUAAACUAGGGUGAUUAAACACUGUCACGUGACGUGCAAUAUAUUGCACAAUAUAUAUAACAUAUUCAUAUCAGGUUCAAAGUAGUACAAGUGUAGUUUCAAAAUGGUAUUUGUUGUAGAAGCACGGUAAAAAACAACACUUACCAUGGUUUUUACCACAGUAUUGGUAGUUUUAAUGUGAUUUUUGUUGUAAAUACAGAGUAACCACAACACUUAUCAUGCUUUUAAUGCCUAAUAAUGUUAAAUCCAAAAACUGUAAGGUCAAUAAGAACUUCUUUCCUAUAUAUAUUUAUAUAUAAACCUAUAUAUUAUAAAUAAUGAUAUUUUCUUUUCUCUUGUUUUAGCUGAAAAGACAAAAAGGGCCUUUCGGAAAUGGAUGAAGGAGACAGAAAGCUGCAAAGGCAAAUAAUUGCAAUGAAGGAAAUCCUACGGUUAUGUAUGAACUCACAACAUCAUCAUCAAGUGCUGUGCUGGGCACAUUGGGUAACAAGUGUCCUCCAACGUAUCCAAUCUGUGACCACAUUCUCCACAUCUUCCCAUGGGACACCGACAUUCUUCAGGCCUUCGUUUCCAUGUCUUCCCCUGCAUUCUCCUGGUGGUGUCCACUUCAUAUCUGUCUUUGGGUGUUGUUGUUUGGUCAUGCUUAGGGUGUGUCCGGGGAGGUGCACCCUUCACUCUGUCACAGUUUUUAAAAGUCUUCACGUGGACUCCUCCUUAUGAUCUCCUUGAAACGUGCAGAACCAAUAUUGAAAAUAGUAAUUUAUCUUUUUCCAUAUUCUUGCCUUUAUCAAAGAAGCACCAGUGCUCAUCCGGAGUUUUGGUAAAAGUUCUAGUAAUGCUGCGACUAUAGUCAAAUAUGUAUUUCUGCAUGUGUGUAUAGCAGGUGUUUGUCCGAACAAUUGAAGUUAGUGAGAGUGUUCAGGAAAACCCUCUGAGAACAAUCAAUAUUUAUUUAAUUCUGUUUGGUGCUGAUAUAGAGUAUUACAGAAAUGACACAUUGACAUUCUGGACAUUAUUCUGUGAGUUUGUUACCUCUUCAUUUAGAUGGACUUGAAAAUGUCUUGCAUUUUGUUUCAUUAAACCUUUUAUUACAGUGUCACUAUAGUAAAUGUCCACCUUAACUACAUCUAUGGUAUCAUUAUAUCAGUACCUGGAUAAUGUAAAUGUAACAUACCCAUGAAUGUAUUUUAUAGAAGCAUUUUAUUGCUGAAAAUAUUUAACAUUUAUAAAAUGCAUUAACUAUU